GAUCAAUAAGUAAAAUAUACUUAUAUUUUGAAAAUAUAAUUUUAGAGAUUAAAUAACUCUAUUGAUCU
RNAcentral lists this transfer RNA (68 nucleotides) under Kokeshia sp. NKU02. Its description in RNAcentral is "tRNA-Ser". The record is from RNAcentral. Lineage: Eukaryota; Metazoa; Arthropoda; Insecta; Hemiptera; Schizopteridae.